CAGUCCAGGAAUGGGGGCCACACGUGUCCCGUCGGUGGGCCCUGUGUUCUCUGUAAUUUCGUUUCCGUUUUCUCAGAGUGGAUGCCAUGGUAGUACUUCCUAUUCACAGCUGUUUAUUGUCAUUUAAAUGAUAAUGCUAAAAGCCUGUGAUGUUCCACAAGUCUGUGGGAAGAAAUUGGGAACAGGUUCAAACUCCGAGCGGGGUGGAGACGAAAUUUCGUUGUACCAAUUUCCCAAGUUAAUGAGAGACUCGGCGCACACACACACACCACACAGUCUUUAGUGUGUGUCCUAGAGGUGGCGGUCUCCUCCAAGCUACAGUGAGAAGAAAGUCAACACAGGAAAGAAAGACUUCCUAUGGUUUGUUUAUUUACUUAACUAAAACCAUUCAAAUUCCUAACAUGUCAGGUGCUUUGAGGACUCACCCACCAGAUGAGAAUUCUCAUAGAUAGCUGUGUAGCAGGCAUGAAGAGACUUUGACCGUAUUUUCAAUACCAAGCCUUGUGUUGGACUUCCUGAACUGCCAGUCGGAGGUUUGUGUGCAUGAGGAUUAAGAUGUGCCAUUUGUGGACAACUCCUGAAAUAGAAGCCUAUAACCAGUAACUGAUGGAAGAAGAUGCAGAGAUCCACAGCCAAGCACUGGGCUGGACUCCUGGAGAUCAGUUGAAGAGAGGGAGGAGGGGUCAUAUGAGCAAAGGGGGGGGGGGGGUCACAGAGACAGCUGACCCCAGCUAGUGGGAGCUCACGGACUCUGGACUGACAGCUGGGGAACUGCGUGGGACCACACUAGGCCCUCUGGAUGUGGGUAACAGAUAUGUGGCUUGUUCUGUGUGUGGGGGGCCCUGGCAGUGGGACCAGGACUUUUCUUGGGUGCAUGGACUGGCUUUUUAGAGCCCAUUCUCUAUGGAGGGACACCUUGCUCAGUCCUGAUGCAGUGGGGAGGGGCUCGGCCCUGCCUCAACUUGGUGU
This is a long non-coding RNA of Peromyscus eremicus (cactus mouse), 969 nucleotides long. RefSeq lists it as uncharacterized. The record is from RefSeq and is a predicted model, not a curated record. NCBI's taxonomy places the organism in Eukaryota, Metazoa, Chordata, Mammalia, Rodentia, Cricetidae. The transcript has 3 exons.